Long non-coding RNA from Ceratina calcarata, 1115 nucleotides. RefSeq lists it as uncharacterized. The record is from RefSeq and is a predicted model, not a curated record. The transcript is spliced from 3 exons. NCBI's taxonomy places the organism in Eukaryota, Metazoa, Arthropoda, Insecta, Hymenoptera, Apidae.
GGGUAAUUAAUGUCUUUUUGGGAGUGAGGGGAUAAAUGAAAGAAAUUGUUAAGGGAUGAAGAGAAUGUUAAUUGAUACACCUGCGCGGUAGAAUCGUUGAGUGAACGUCGUGAUAAAGAAGGCUGCGAAAACGAUUUCCUUGACUCGAUUGUCGAGAAUCAAACUGGGGGCUAAGGUCAAACGUCGUGUGUGCGACCUUAGCGGCUGGACUCGUGUGCGCCACGUUCACAGCGCAGCGGUUACAUGCUACCGUCGGCAGUUACUCUCCUCUCUCUCUUUUCGUCACUUCGAGAUGAGUCCCGCGCACGCAUAUAAUGUGAGUCACACAUGACGACCGAUCCGAAUGAACCACAUCCUGUCCGUCAUGUGACAUUAAUGUCAUUGUCGUUUGCGUGUGCCGUUCGACUAAGAGAAUUGUACAAAAUAAACGGAGGAAUCGUCUUAAAUAUCUGAUUUUCCCGUCGUGGAUCCCUCUUCAAUUCAUCAAGUCGGACGCUGGCUUUAUGUACUCGGCUCGAACACUGAUUCCAAGUAGACAUCCCUAAAACUUUGAUGGAAAGCGUUUGCAAAGAUUUUGCAAACGCUGCCAACCCAGGUCUCACCGCGUGGAGGUGACUACGUUCGAGACCCGGACAGUGGACAAUCCCCACUGCCCCCUCCCAUAUUAAAUUGCCACUCUAUUAUACGGAGCGAAUAUUGGAGAAGGAUUUUAUACGAUUGCGAACAAGACUCUAACUAUUGACUCUAACUAUGGACUAACUAUUGACUCUAAUUGGAAACUAAGGUAAGCACAAAAUGUCAGACUUCACUUGGGCACCAGAGUUCGAGCCGAGCAGGACCCUGCACCCGAAUGACGAUGCCUCAGCGCAGGAAUGGCCUGACCACGACCAAUCCGUCUCACGGAGCUUACGCACUGCACCUGGGAAUGGAACAGGAACACCCCAGCGACUGACGAGACAGGCCACCCGAGAUACAGGACCACAACUCUUUUCUCCCUCUGGUACUCGAGCAAAGUCUGACUGGUAAACUACUAUUCGCGACGCGGGUAUACUAAAACGCGAGCAAAAUGAAUUGACUGAAACGAGAGAGAGAGGGAUGAAGUUAAAUUCGCUCCG